This 436-nucleotide long non-coding RNA is filed under the name Trifolium pratense (red clover). Its description in RNAcentral is "long non-coding RNA (TPRA_LNC011272)". Lineage: Eukaryota; Viridiplantae; Streptophyta; Magnoliopsida; Fabales; Fabaceae. The record is from RNAcentral.
CCAAUACCUCAACCACAAGAAGAUCCGACUCUCCUUAAAGAGAAAAAAUAAUCAACACUAAGAGUCUAAGACUAAUUAACAAACACCAAGGAAACCACCAAUCAACGAGGACCAUAAAUAAAAGACAGAAAGAUCAUUAUACUUUCUAUUCACUAUAUACCAUUUUCAACGGAAGAGAAAUAAUUUUAUAAAGAGAUAAAUUUGUGUUGAACCUGAAAAUGGAUAAAAUUUUUUGCCUCCUUGAGUGCCACUAUAAUUUCAUAUGGUAGAUCAGAUCAAACAUGUCCGCUCUCAAUUUUGCAUACUUUAUACACAAUCCAGGUUUUUAUGAAAAAUGGCACAUUUUUUUUCUAUAAAGAAGAUUGAAUCAAACAAAGGAUAAAAUAAGUAGCAGAGAUUGUUUUUUUGUUUUUAACAGUUUUUGAGAGACUAUUUG